AACGAACGCUGGCGGCAUGCUUAACACAUGCAAGUCGAACGAGACCUCCCGGCUUAGUGGCGCAGGGGUGCGUAACGCGUGGGAACCUGCCCUUAGGUUCGGAAUAACUCACUGAAAGAGGUCUUAAUACCGGAUAAUGUAUUCGGACCAAAGAUUUAUCGCCUUUGGAUGGGCCCGGGUUGGAUUAGCUAGUUGGUAGGGGAAAAGCCUACCAAUGCGAGGUUGCAUAGCUGGUCUGAGAGGAUGAUCAGCAACGCUGGGACUGAGACACGGCCCAGACUGCGAGGGAAGGGAGCAGUAGAGAGUAUUAGGGGAGGGGCCAAGGCCUAAUCCAGCAGUGCGGCGGAAGUGAGGAAGGGCUUAGGAUUGUAAAUCUCUUUGACACGAGGUGAUAAUGACGGUACCGGGAGAAGAAGCACCGGCUAACUCCGUG
Molecule: ribosomal RNA, 433 nt
Filed under: uncultured bacterium
Lineage: Bacteria
Description: partial 16S ribosomal RNA
Rfam family: Bacterial small subunit ribosomal RNA
Source: RNAcentral